CCCAAAGGGCCGCCAAAGCCGUGAGGGUCCAGUAUGAGGAGCUUCAGCCGGUGGUCACCAUCCAGGUGAAACAGGAAACACCUGGGGACUUUUAGAGUAAAACUUAAUCUAGGCUCACAAGCCCCCCAAAAAAAGUAAAAAAAAAGCUUCUUGUUGGUUUUCUUGACAGGAGGCUAUUUCUGCCCAGUCCUUCUAUCAGCCAAUCAGAACCCUCCAGAGAGGCGACCUGGAGGCAGGGUUUAAACAGGCCGAUCAUGUCUUGGAGGGUGAGAUGCAUAUAGGAGGUCAGGAACAUUUCUACCUGGAGACAAACGUAACUCUUGCAGUUCCUCGAGGAGAAGAUGGAGAGAUGGAGCUCUUUGUUUCUACUCAGGCUGCUGCUAAAACACAGGUAACAAUACUUUGAGACACGCGUAACAUUACUCUGAACACAGAUAACAAUACUCUAAACAUAGGUAACAAUACUCUGAACAUAGAUAAGCGUACUCUAAAACCCAGGUAACUGCAAUGUGACCCCCAAACCACUAGGUGGAGGCACCUGUGGUUGCAUUUCUGGAGAGAAAUAUUUAGUUCAAUUCAUUUUAUUUUGUAUAGCCCAAAAUCGCAAAUUAGAAAUUUGCCUCAGAGGGCUUUACAGUCCGUACACAUGCGACAUCCUCUGUCACGAAAUCCACCAUCGGCACAGAAAAAACUCCCCAAAAAAUGAAAAAACCCUUCCAAGAGGGAAAAAAGGGAAGAAACCUUUGGGAGAACGUCAGAGGAGGGAUCCCACUCCCGGGAUGGACAGACUACAAUGGAUGCCAUGUGUACAGAAUGAACAAUGUAUAUUACAUGCAAUUCCUAUGACAGAAAUGAUUCAAGUAAUUGUGAGUAGUAAGCCAGGCGCACAGCAGGACCACUGCAGGGGCAACCACCAUCACAUAGAACCACCAUCAGAUAGAACCACCAUCAGAUAGGACCACCAUCUACAGAAGCCUGUGGGGAGGGAGAGCACAGAGACUUUAGGAGAGGGUAAUGUUGGUUUAUGAGUACAGUAAUAUGAUUAAUAUCUAAAAUAAUAAUGAUGAUGAUGACGAUGGCAGCAGCAGGCGUCAGCAGGGCCACGGUAGGUGUCAGGACCAGGGUCCAGAAGGAACUACGAUCUAGAGAGACCUGCUAGGGGAGAAAGCACAAAAACAACUCCCGGAAAGAAGCUGAAUUAGUCAUGUGCAUUAAUAAAACGUGAAUUAUGGUAGAACGAGAGCGUGAGAGAGGAGCUCGGUGUGUCCUAAGAAGUCCCCCGGCAGUCUAAGCCUAUAGCAGCUUAACUAAGGGCUGGUCUGGGCUAACCUGAGCCAGCCCUAACUAUAGGCAGAAUCAAAGAGGAAAGUUUUAAGUUUUACUUUAAAAGAGCUGACCGAAUCUGCCCCCCGGACUGAAAGUGGAACCUGGUUCCACAAAAGAGGAGCUUGAUAACUGAAGGCUCUGGCCCCCAGCCUACUUUUUAAAACCAUAGGAACAACAAGUAACCAGCAUCUAUGGAGCGCAGCUGCCUUGUAGGGCAAUAAGGUGUUACAAGAUACGACGGUGCCUCACCACCAAGUGCCUUGUAGGUGAGGAGAAGUACCUAAAAAUCUGUUCUUGAUUUAACAGGGAGCCAGUGCAGAGAAGUUAAUAAAGGAGUGAUAUGAUCCCUUUUCUUAGUUCUUGUUAAUACACGUGCUGCAGCAUUCUGAAUCAACUGAGUCUCACUUUGAGACAGGAAGUUCCUGAUUUUUGAUAUGUUACGUAGAUGAAAAAAGGCAGUCCUUGAAGUCUUCUUUAUAUGCGAGUUGAAGGUCAUAUCCUGGUUGAAGAGAACUCCCAUCAUAAAAGACAUUCCAUCCAUAAAAACUGUAUCACGUGACAGCUGGCUUCAAAGGCGCUCUGGGCCUAUCAAGAUAAGAUUUUUUCUGAUUGUAGCAUCAGGAAAUUGCCGGUCAUCCAAGUUUUGAUGUCUCCAAGACAUUGAAGUCUAACAAGCUGGUCCGUCUCUUCUGGUUUGAUCGACAGAUACAGUUGAGUAUUGUCUGCAUAACAAUAGAAGUUUAUGCUGUGUUUCCUGAUAAGAUCGCCCAAAGGGAGCAUAUAGAGGGUAAAUAAAAUCGGUCCAAGUACAGAACCUUGUGGGACUCCGUGACCAACAUUGGUGGUCUUUGAGGAUUCACCGUUUACAAGCACAAACUGGGAUUGAUCCGAUAAGUAGGAUUUAAACCAGCUGAGUGCAGUUCCUUUGAUACCAAUUAAAUGUUCUAGUCUCUGCAACAGGAUACAAUGGUCUAUGGUCAAAUGUGAUCAAAUGCGGCACUGAAGUCCAGCAAGACAAGAAAAGAGAUGAGUCCUUGGUCCGAUGCAAGUAGAAGAUCAUUCGUAAUUUUCACCAGUGCUGUUUCUGUUAGGAAGGAGAUUUGACCCAGCACACAGAGAUCACACAGGACUGAUAAACUGUAGAAGGGAGUUUAAUGACUGGUGAGGACGCCAGAGGGACGGAGGCAGGUGGCACGGCAGGUCAGAGGAGGGACAGCAGAAUCUGGACAAAGGAAUCAGGGGAGCCAGGAUACAAAGUCAGGUCACCACACAGGGGUGUAUAACGAUCUGGCGCUGGAGAAGCAGACAGCCCGGGUUUAAAUACUGGAGGGCUGAAGCGUGGAAUGGAGAUCAGCUGUGUGGGGACGGUUCCGGAUGACUGGCCACGCCUCUUGUAGGUGGAGACAAACAGCACAGACAGACACACCGGGGAAAAGGAAGGUACAAACACACAGGAUGGGGAGAAAACAGCAGCUGACCCAUAACAGUUUCUGUACCAUGAUGCGCUCGAAAUCCUGACUGGAAAUCCUCGAACAAAGCAUUGUUUUGUAGAAAGUCACAUAAUUGAUUUGCGACGGAUUUCUCAAGGAUCUUAGAGAGGAAGGGAAGAUUAGAGAUAGGUCUGUAGUUAGCCAACACCUCUGGAGCAAGAGUAGGUUUCUUAAGAAGAGGUUUAAUUACAGCUACCUUGAAGGACUGUGGUACAUGUCCUGUCAGCAAAGAC
This is a long non-coding RNA of Gasterosteus aculeatus aculeatus (three-spined stickleback), 3049 nucleotides long. The record is from Ensembl. Lineage: Eukaryota; Metazoa; Chordata; Actinopteri; Perciformes; Gasterosteidae.